AGAGUUUGAUCCUGGCUCAGAACGAACGCUGGCGGGUGGAUAAGACAUGCAAGUCGAACGGGACAACAUUUGUAGCAAUACAGAUGUUGUUUAGUGGCGAACGGGUGCGUAACACGUGGGGAAUCUGCCGAGAAGUGGGGGAUAGCUCGCCGAAAGGCGAAUUAAUACCGCAUACGAUCAGGGAAGACAUCUUUCCGACAUCAAAGCCGGGGCAACCUGGCGCUUCUUGAUGACCCCGCGGCCUAUCAGCUAGUUGGUGAGGUAACGGCCCACCAAGGCAAUGACGGGUAGCUGGUCUGAGAGGACGACCAGUCACACUGGAACUGAGACACGGUCCAGACACCUACGGGUGGCAGCAGUCGAGAAUUUUUCUCAAUGGGGGCAACCCUGAAGGAGCGACGCCGCGUGGAGGAUGAAGGCUUUCGGGUUGUAAACUCCUGUCAUUUGAGAACAAUGGCUACGCGUUAACUGCGCGGAGCUUGAUAGUAUCAGAAGAGGAAGGGACGGCUAACUCUGUGCCAGCAGCCGCGGUAAUACAGAGGUCCCAAGCGUUGUUCGGAUUCAUUGGGCGUAAAGGGUGCGUAGGUGGCGCCGUAAGUGGGGUGUGAAAUCCCGGGGCUUAACCCCGGGACUGCAUUCCAUACUGCGGUGCUUGAGGACUGGAGAGGAGACUGGAAUUUACGGUGUAGCAGUGAAAUGCGUAGAGAUCGUAAGGAAGACCAGUGGCGAAGGCGGGUCUCUGGACAGUUCCUGACACUGAGGCACGAAGGCCAGGGGAGCAAACGGGAUUAGAUACCCUAGUAGUCC
Molecule: ribosomal RNA, 807 nt
Filed under: uncultured bacterium
Lineage: Bacteria
Description: bacterial SSU rRNA
Rfam family: Bacterial small subunit ribosomal RNA
Source: RNAcentral